AGUGAACGCUGGCGGCAGGCCUAACACAUGCAAGUCGAACGGUAACACACAAAGAUCUUCUGCUUUCGUGUUGCGUGUCGGGGGCGUGAGAAGUGUACAGCGAACUCUACGUUUUCGGGGGAUAUCAAGUAGGAAAGGUUACUACCAUACCGUAACGCCCCUAGGCGUGAGAGCAGGGGAUCUUUGUCCCUUGCGCUAUUGAAUGACCCGAUGUCGGUUUAGCUUGUUGGCGGGGUAACGGCACACCGAGGCGACUAUCUGUCGCUGGUCAGAGAGGAUGAUCAGCCACACGGGAACUGAGACACGGUCCAGACUCCUACGGGAGGCAGCAGUGGGGAAUAUUGGACAAUGGGCGCAAGCCUUAUCCAGCCAUACCGCGUGGGUGAAGAAGGCCUUCGGGUUGUAAAGACCUUUUGUUGGGAAAGAAAAGAAUAAAGUUAAUACCCCGCUGAACUGACGGUACCCAAAGAAGAAGCACCGGCUAACUUCGUG
RNAcentral lists this ribosomal RNA (492 nucleotides) under uncultured bacterium. Its description in RNAcentral is "partial 16S ribosomal RNA". It matches the Rfam family "Bacterial small subunit ribosomal RNA", at positions 29 to 507 of the family's 1533-position model. The record is from RNAcentral.